CAGGACGAACGCUGGCGGCGUGCUUAACACAUGCAAGUNCGAACGGNAAAGGUCUCNUUCGGAGAUACUCGAGUGGCGAACGGGUGAGUAACACGUGGGUGAUCUGCCCUGCACUUUGGGAUAAGCCUGGGAAACUGGGUCUAAUACCGGAUAGGACCGCGCCAUGCAUGUGGUGUGGUGGAAAGCUAUUUGCGGUGUGGGAUGGGCCCGCGGCCUAUCAGCUUGUUGGUGGGGUGAUGGCCUACCAAGGCGACGACGGGUAGCCGGCCUGAGAGGGUGUCCGGCCACACUGGGACUGAGAUACGGCCCAGACUCCUACGGGAGGCAGCAGUGGGGAAUAUUGCACAAUGGGCGCAAGCCUGAUGCAGCGACGCCGCGUGGGGGAUGACGGCCUUCGGGUUGUAAACCUCUUUCACCAUCGGNCGAAGCCUUCAGCUUUUNGUNUGGGGGUGACGGUAGGUGGAGAAGAAGCACCGGCCAACUACGUGCCAGCCCCG
Molecule: ribosomal RNA, 497 nt
Filed under: uncultured bacterium
Lineage: Bacteria
Description: bacterial SSU rRNA
Rfam family: Bacterial small subunit ribosomal RNA
Source: RNAcentral